AUUGAACGCUGGCGGCAUGCCUUACACAUGCAAGUCGAACGGCAGCACGGGGGCAACCCUGGUGGCGAGUGGCGAACGGGUGAGUAAUAUAUCGGAACGUACCCUAGAGUGGGGGAUAACGUAGCGAAAGUUACGCUAAUACCGCAUACGAUCUACGGAUGAAAGUGGGGGCUCGCAAGACCUCAUGCUCAUGGAGCGGCCGAUAUCUGAUUAGCUAGUUGGUGAGGUAAAGCCUACCAAGGCGACGAUCCGUAGCUGGUUUGAGAGAACGACCAGCCACACUGGGACUGAGACACGG
This 298-nucleotide ribosomal RNA is filed under the name uncultured soil bacterium. Its description in RNAcentral is "partial 16S ribosomal RNA". It matches the Rfam family "Bacterial small subunit ribosomal RNA", at positions 30 to 329 of the family's 1533-position model. The record is from RNAcentral.